Drosophila mojavensis is the source of this 536-nucleotide long non-coding RNA. RefSeq lists it as uncharacterized. The transcript has 2 exons. Lineage: Eukaryota; Metazoa; Arthropoda; Insecta; Diptera; Drosophilidae. The record is from RefSeq and is a predicted model, not a curated record.
ACAAUAAAUAAAAAUCUCAAAAAAAAAUCAAGCAAAGCAAAUAAAUAAACAAUCACGAUAUAAGAAAUUCUAAAUAAAGACGAACACUAUGGAAAGAAACAAAACUAGCCUCUCUCCUGGAUCCACGGAGUACUUACAACCUGGACAUAGCUACAAAUAAGAGCAUCGACAGCAGCGCCUUCUUCUGUCUUCCCCUCCGGGCCACUGAAGACUGGAUGACAGCGACUGAUGACGCCCCUAGAGUUAUCAAAUCAACAAUACAACUAACAAACCAGCUAAAUGUAAUUAUAUUUAAGAAUAGUAAUCCAAAUUAAAUUUAAAGAAUAGUAAUCCAAAUUGAAUUUAAAGAAUAGUAAUCUAAAUUGAAUUUAACGAAGAAAAUCUGACUUAGUCUUUACUCUUCCCCACCAAAUUAAAUCUGUAUAAAUAACUACAACUUUACUAGAUAGAUAUAUAUAUGUAUAUAAAAAAGAAAACACUCAAUUAUUUGUAAAAUUCAAACUUUAUUAAUAAACACUUAUAUUAAGUUUCGCCUA